This 1259-nucleotide long non-coding RNA is filed under the name Canis lupus familiaris (dog). RNAcentral describes it as "lncRNA (ENSCAFG00845015649.1)". Lineage: Eukaryota; Metazoa; Chordata; Mammalia; Carnivora; Canidae. The record is from RNAcentral.
ACAAAUGACCAGGUAUGUGUAGACAGUCAUCUCCUGUACCUCUUCCCUACCCCUAAAUUGUUAAAAGUGGUAUUUUUCUGUUUAGAGAGACCAGAAAGCAGAAAUAACCGUGUGUUAUCACGCUCAUCUGGAGAGAUGAACAUGCCUGCAAUCAUUGGGAGAAAGACAGGGAUGGAGAAACGGAAAUACCACCACCCUCCAGCCAAACCUGGGAGGACUGAUUGCAGGGGAGCUGCUGCUCCAGAUGUUGCACUAGAGGCGCUGCGAGUGUGAGCAGGUGGCAGUGGGCAACAUCAUGGGUUGUAGCAGAUGUUCUCAACAUUUCUUUUGAAACUUCUUUAUAUUGCCUUGCAAGAGGAGCCCUAGAGCCUCAUCCCUGGGGUAGCUACUAUGCUCUGGUAUGAUGCUGUGCUGUUCUAUUUCAUCCUUCCUGUUCUAGCAGAGGAUCUAGGUUAGAAUUUAGUGGUUUCUUAUUGCAGACAAUUAUGUAGAACUGGAAGUGGAAUGUUUGAAUUAUACUGAUAUUGUGAUUUCUUUGAGAUUGUUUAUUAUGCCUUAUUAUUCUUAUACUUGUUCACAGAACCCCCAAAUAGUGAGUGCCUAACUCAUCAUAGAUACUUAGCAUUGUGAUUUUGUUUGAAUUGUAUCUAGUUGUAAACAGUUCCUUACUGAUUUUUAAUAGAUGUUAAUCUAAUUUUUAUUCUUUUAAUUGAUAAAGAAGCACAUAACAUCAUCUUUACUUCUACUUAGAAAAACUAUGUCUUCAGGUAAUGUUUAACCAGUUUCUCAACUCUUAUGUAGGAGAUUCAGCUGGCAACCCAUAAAAUUCUAUUUCAGGAAUAUUUAAUUAUAAACCUCUGUCUAUAUUAGCAUGAAUAAACACUGUAGCUAGUAAUGAAAGUAUUUUUCUUCAUACAAAAUAGUAUUUUUCAGAAUUCUGGGAAAUGUCAAAGCAAUUUUGGCUGUAGUCAUGCUGCAUUUAAUGUUAUUGAGAAUGUUGCUAACAUUAACAAAAAUAUUCCGUAAUUUCCUCAGUUAUUGCUACUGGUGAUGAGGGAUGUAAAGUUGGCAUGCUUUCAUGUUUUGAGCAUUUUCAUUAUACACUUUUGAUUUUACAUGUCAGAAGCGAUCUUUGUUUUAGGUAAGAUAGCUGAGAACAUUUUUACUUAGGGAUGGAGGUCAGGCUCUAUUUGUAUUUUUAGGCCAGUGCCUUAUAGAAUAUAAUGAAUGUAUCAGAGUAAAAACAUGUACAGUUUUGU